GACGGAAGGCAAAUAUUUACAGUUUGGAACAGCCGAAGACCAUGAAAUGAUGCAGUAUAUACAAUAAGUGAUGUUUCAGAGAACAAAUGAGAGAAGUCCUGGAACUGGUACACUUGUUGCUGAUGGUCAGAUACAAUUCCAGGUUAGAUCCAGGGGCCGACACGCUUGUCAGAUGUGUCAUUGAUGAUUCCCUGAACAUCGCAGAUAUGAUCUGAUUUGGUGACAUGACAGUGGAAUUGGUAGUGACUGGAUUUUUAGUGUGCCCUGGUUUUGAACUAUUGAAGUAACCAAACUAGAAACAUCUUCUGAGAACUCUGACUGCAAUUCUAAUGAUGAAACUCUGUCUACACUUGUGAAAAUGUAAAAGGAGUUGGCUCUACCUCGUGGCCUUUCAGGUUCAGUGCUCUCAUCUAACUUUUUCUUUUUCCAGCUGGGUAACUGAUAUCAAUUUUAAUUUUCUUGAGAUUUUGACUUCAACAUAAGUUUAGUUUUAAUUUUGAUAGGACUUUCAAAUCUGGUUUCAUUUUUAGAGCAGUGUAUUAUAUAAAGAAACUAUACUGCUUGAACUAUAAGUCUCUGCUCUUAUAGUGAUAUGAUUAUGAACUCCUUUAAAAAUAUUUUAUAUAUACAGUCAAAUAUAAAGUUCAGAAUAGUCACUUAUCUUCUAUACUUACAUGUUAAAAUUGCUCAUACACAUCGUCCACAUAUGGAUGCAGAAUAAUUACCCUUUUUCAUUCAUUUGAUUCGCAUGUUUUCAUUUUGCUUGGUGCUAUCUAAAAAACAGAAACACUGCAUAUUUCUACAUUUAAAAUAAAACUGAAUGUUAUUAGCUGUAUUGUGCUUAAAUGAAUUGUGUUAAUACUACAUAUUCUUUAAUAAUAACAAUCAUACAAUUUAGACUGACAUGCAUUGUGAAACUCGAUAGCUGCAUGAUAUAUUACUAGUAAGGAUGUAGGGGUGAAAAUCAUAUUAGGUUUUUGUAAAUUCAUUUUCAAAAGCCAAAUGUAUUAAUACAGACACCCCCCCCCCCCUCCUCUUCCAUGAGGUAAUGUUUUAUUGGUUUAUCAGGGGUGUGAGAAUUCUUAAGCUGAUUUUAGUUAUUUUUUUUGCUUUUUAUUUUAAGCUUGAUAUCCCCCAUUUCUGUACAAUAGUUUGAGAGCUCAUUCAAUUUAAUCCCCCAACUCUUUACAGAAUUUUCAGGUCUUUAUUUGUCAUCGCUCACACACCUGGUUCAUGCAGUUGAUGUGUCGUAAUUUUAUUCCAGAAAAUCCAACUGUUAGAUUUUGUUAUUCACGAAAGAAGUAAUACAUGAUUAUGUUUAGCUGGAGGUUAAAGAUACACUGCAGCACAUGUUCUUCUGUCUAUUUUUAGU
Long non-coding RNA from Lytechinus variegatus (green sea urchin), 1372 nucleotides. RefSeq lists it as uncharacterized. Lineage: Eukaryota; Metazoa; Echinodermata; Echinoidea; Temnopleuroida; Toxopneustidae. The transcript is spliced from 3 exons. The record is from RefSeq and is a predicted model, not a curated record.